Oryzias melastigma (Indian medaka) is the source of this 432-nucleotide long non-coding RNA. RefSeq lists it as uncharacterized. The record is from RefSeq and is a predicted model, not a curated record. The transcript is spliced from 3 exons. NCBI's taxonomy places the organism in Eukaryota, Metazoa, Chordata, Actinopteri, Beloniformes, Adrianichthyidae.
AUCUUGUCUAAAAAUGACUUACUAGACUCUAUGGUCAUGCUGACAAACCGAACCAGGCGGGUCCAGAUGAUGGCCAACAGGGACUCUGCAGGUAGAAAACACCAGGUCCUCGUGAGGACGACGUUGAAGGUGAGAUGAUGACCUGCAGAGUGUGACCCACCCAGACUCAGGACCAGUUUGUUCUUCGCUGCACAUGCAACAACCUCCGGGCCCACCAGGUAGUGCAGCAGCAUCUCCAGGCCCAGCAGCUGGAUGGAGGGAAAGGUGGAGGCAGCCGGCAUGCUGGAGCCCAGACUCAUCCGGGGGGUGAUGGCCAGGCUGGUGAAGGUGGAGUUUCCUGACGAAGAAAGAGCAGGCUUCAAGGUUCCACAUCUACACGCCGGAGCGUCUCUGCAGGCUGGUCCUGAUGACAUUCAGACGAGCUGAUGGACA